GAUGACUCCCACUGAGGAAAUUGCUCACACUCCAGUGAUUAAAGGUGGUCAGGCCUUGAUUGAAGAGGAAAUUUAGAGCUCUCAUGUGCCAGAGUCCUCUACUCUCCUACCAGAAUCUGUACUUCUCCAUAACAUCUGGGAAUAAACCAGGACUUCUUCAUAAUGCCCUGAUGGCAUUCUCCUCCAUGAGAGCUGCCAGAUACGUGCAUACUUGAUUAGACUCUCAAAUAGCACCGCACCCAACCUGCAUCCCCAUCAAAGGAACCAUCAGCCCUA
Molecule: long non-coding RNA, 276 nt
Filed under: Mustela putorius furo (domestic ferret)
Lineage: Eukaryota; Metazoa; Chordata; Mammalia; Carnivora; Mustelidae
Description: lncRNA (ENSMPUG00000027269.1)
Source: RNAcentral